This is a long non-coding RNA of Drosophila biarmipes, 887 nucleotides long. RefSeq lists it as uncharacterized. The transcript has 2 exons. The record is from RefSeq and is a predicted model, not a curated record. Lineage: Eukaryota; Metazoa; Arthropoda; Insecta; Diptera; Drosophilidae.
CCAUCUCAUUGUUUUCCCUGGCCCAACUAUAAAUUUAUGUGUGUUUCUCGGUGUCCGGUGGUUUGUUUUCUUUUCUUUCGCAGCAUUGUAUUGCGGCUGAAGUGCUUUCCAAUCGGAAUUGAGGAAAUGGGAGCAACCACUGGAGGACUCGUCGAGAUCUCCACAGGGGUUCACUGAACUACACGUCAACCAGCUCUACAUGUCAACACGAUUUUCUAAGGCAGUCCAGUCAGUCAACGAAAGAUCUCGUAGCAGUAACAUCAAAACUAUAUCUGAGUAUAAGUUCAUAGAAAAAUAAAUAUAUUUUCAAAAUGGCCAUCAACACUGGGGAUGCUAUCCAAGAAAAAUCAGGCCUGAAAUAUGUGAUCUUGGCCGUGGUGCUGCUUGUUCUUUUUUCUAUGAUGGUCUACCUCCAAAAGGCUGAAUUUGUCGUAAACCGGGAUAGUUCGGCAUUGUGGAUCGUGGUAAGGAAGGGCUAUGACUAUUUAGCGAAGCCUGAGAAGCCAAAAGUGGUGCCCAACUAUUAUCAAAGGUUGAUGAACUCUGUGAUGUGCUAAUCAUCUUAAGGAAUCCGUUGGAUACAACACAGCCUUGCAGUUGCAGACACCCGAACGAUGUUUUACCAAGCCAAGUCGUCUAUAUUUUGAUAGCCUCUUAAACCAUCUGCAGUUUGAAGGAUGUUCUUGGAUCUUUGGAAGAAUCACAUACAAUCAUGAAAACUGAAACCCAUUUGUUUGUUUCUAUUCUUUGACCCGUAUCAUCCGAAGAUGCAGCUCUACAUCUGCUACAUCCAGAUGUUUUAGCCGCCUGGCAAACCUUUUAAUCUGUUCACUGCCCAUAAAAGUCAAUUUUGAAAUUGUUGUUUAAUAAAUGAUUUAUGCAAUUCA